CAAUAGCGUAUAUUAAAGUUGUUGCGGUUAAAAAGCUCGUAGUUGGAUUUCUGCCGAGGACGACCGGUCCGCCCUCUGGGUGAGUAUCUGGUUCGGCCUGGGCAUCUUCUUGGAGAACGUAUCUGCACUUGACUGUGUGGUGCGGUAUCCAGGACUUUUACUUUGAGGAAAUUAGAGUGUUUCAAGCAGGCACACGCCUUGAAUACAUUAGCAUGGAAUAAUAAGAUAGGACCUUGGUUCUAUUUUGUUGGUUUCUAGGACCAGGAUAAUGGUUAAUAGGGAUAAUUGGGGGCACUCGUAUCAUGACGUCAGAGGUGGAAUUCUUGGAUUGUCAUGCGACGAACUACUGCGAAAGCAUUUGCCAAGGAUGUUUUCAUUGAUCAAGAACGAAAGUUAGGGGAUCGAAGAUGAUUAGAUACCAU
Molecule: ribosomal RNA, 422 nt
Filed under: uncultured eukaryote
Lineage: Eukaryota
Description: SSU rRNA
Rfam family: Eukaryotic small subunit ribosomal RNA
Source: RNAcentral